Molecule: ribosomal RNA, 482 nt
Filed under: uncultured bacterium
Lineage: Bacteria
Description: partial 16S ribosomal RNA
Rfam family: Bacterial small subunit ribosomal RNA
Source: RNAcentral
AUUGAACGCUGGCGGCAUGCUUUACACAUGCAAGUCGAACGGUAACAGGCCGCAAGGUGCUGACGAGUGGCGCACGGGUGCGUAAUGCAUCGGAACGUGCCCAGUCGUGGGGGAUAACUACUCGAAAGAGUAGCUAAUACCGCAUACGAUCUAUGGAUGAAAGCGGGGGACCGUAAGGCCUCGCGCGAUUGGAGCGGCCGAUGUCAGAUUAGGUAGUUGGUGGGGUAAAGGCUCACCAAGCCAACGAUCUGUAGCUGGUCUGAGAGGACGACCAGCCACACUGGGACUGAGACACGGCCCAGACUCCUACGGGAGGCAGCAGUGGGGAAUUUUGGACAAAGGGCGCAAGCCUGAUCCAGCAAUGCCGCGUGCAGGAAGAAGGCCUUCGGGUUGUAAACUGCUUUUGUACGGAACGAAACGGCUCUGGUUAAUACCCGGGGCUAAUGACGGUACCGUAAGAAUAAGCACCGGCUAACUACGUG